Molecule: ribosomal RNA, 601 nt
Filed under: Cedecea davisae
Lineage: Bacteria; Pseudomonadati; Pseudomonadota; Gammaproteobacteria; Enterobacterales; Enterobacteriaceae
Description: bacterial SSU rRNA
Rfam family: Bacterial small subunit ribosomal RNA
Source: RNAcentral
AGCUUGCUACUUUGCCGGCGAGCGGCGGACGGGUGAGUAAUGUCUGGGAAACUGCCUGAUGGAGGGGGAUAACUACUGGAAACGGUAGCUAAUACCGCAUAACGUCGCAAGACCAAAGAGGGGGACCUUCGGGCCUCUUGCCAUCAGAUGUGCCCAGAUGGGAUUAGCUAGUAGGUGGGGUAACGGCUCACCUAGGCGACGAUCCCUAGCUGGUCUGAGAGGAUGACCAGCCACACUGGAACUGAGACACGGUCCAGACUCCUACGGGAGGCAGCAGUGGGGAAUAUUGCACAAUGGGCGCAAGCCUGAUGCAGCCAUGCCGCGUGUAUGAAGAAGGCCUUCGGGUUGUAAAGUACUUUCAGCGGGGAGGAAGGUGUUGAGGUUAAUAACCUCAGCAAUUGACGUUACCCGCAGAAGAAGCACCGGCUAACUCCGUGCCAGCAGCCGCGGUAAUACGGAGGGUGCAAGCGUUAAUCGGAAUUACUGGGCGUAAAGCGCACGCAGGCGGUCUGUCAAGUCGGAUGUGAAAUCCCCGGGCUCAACCUGGGAACUGCAUUCGAAACUGGCAGGCUAGAGUCUUGUAGAGGGGGGUAGAAUUCCA